This 233-nucleotide ribosomal RNA is filed under the name uncultured bacterium. RNAcentral's name for it is "partial 16S ribosomal RNA". It matches the Rfam family "Bacterial small subunit ribosomal RNA", at positions 15 to 240 of the family's 1533-position model. The record is from RNAcentral.
GAUCCUGGCUCAGGACGAACGCUGGCGGCGUGCCUAAUACAUGCAAGUAGAACGCUGAAGGGAGAGUUUGCUCUUCUGGAUGAGUUGCGAACGGGUGAGUAACGCGUAGGUAACCUGCCUGGUAGCGGGGGAUAACUAUUGGAAACGAUAGCUAAUACCGCAUAACAUUGACUAUUGCAUGAUAGUCAAUUGAAAGGUGCAAAUGCACCACUACCAGAUGGACCUGCGUUGUA